This 287-nucleotide ribosomal RNA is filed under the name uncultured bacterium. Its description in RNAcentral is "partial 16S ribosomal RNA". It matches the Rfam family "Bacterial small subunit ribosomal RNA", at positions 775 to 1067 of the family's 1533-position model. The record is from RNAcentral.
GGAUUAGAUACCCUGGUAGUCCACGCUGUAAACGAUGCUAACUCGUUUUUGGGUUUUCGGAUUCAGAGACUAAGCGAAAGUGAUAAGUUAGCCACCUGGGGAGUACGAACGCAAGUUUGAAACUCAAAGGAAUUGACGGGGGCCCGCACAAGCGGUGGAUUAUGUGGUUUAAUUCGAUGAUACGCGAGGAACCUUACCAAGGCUUAAAUGGGAAUUGAUCGGUUUAGAAAUAGACCUUCCUUCGGGCAAUUUUCAAGGUGCUGCAUGGUUGUCGUCAGCUCGUGCCG